UCCUGUGUGGUUGAUGAUUACAGUGCUUCUGAGACAAAGUGAUUGCUCAGUCUCAAAGUAAACGCUCUGACGCACAGAGG
Small nucleolar RNA from Jaculus jaculus (lesser Egyptian jerboa), 80 nucleotides. RefSeq annotates it as small nucleolar RNA U105B. Lineage: Eukaryota; Metazoa; Chordata; Mammalia; Rodentia; Dipodidae. The transcript has a single exon. The record is from RefSeq and is a predicted model, not a curated record.